CCGUACAAUUCUGGAAUUAUGAGACAAAAUGGAAAGGAUUGACAUAGGAUAAGGUUAUCAACAAAAAGUUGACCAAUGUACACAGUUCGUACUGUCAUGUCUAUGGUUAACUAAUUAUUGGGCAUUCAUUUUAGCUCAGUGUUCAGAAAUUUGACUCUAGGAUCCUUCGGGAGAUUGAGUAUAAAGUACAAGUUUCACUUGAGCUAGCAUUAGUUUCUUUGUUUUAUGCUUGCAGUUCUGUAUUUGUCAUUGGGAGCAAAGAGGUGAUGAAUCGCAAAGAAGCAAGUUUCGAGUAUGGAAAAUGUGCAAAUGAAGAAUAGGGGAU
Rhododendron vialii is the source of this 325-nucleotide long non-coding RNA. RefSeq lists it as uncharacterized. Lineage: Eukaryota; Viridiplantae; Streptophyta; Magnoliopsida; Ericales; Ericaceae. The transcript is spliced from 3 exons. The record is from RefSeq and is a predicted model, not a curated record.